GAUGAACGCUAGCGAUAGGCUUAACACAUGCAAGUCGAGGGGCAGCACGCUUUCGGGUGGUGGCGACCGGCGCACGGGUGAGUAACGCGUAUGUAACCUACCCAUAACCGGGGGAUAGCCCGUUGAAAGACGGAUUAAUACCGCAUAACACAGGGAUACCGCAUGGUAUAUUUGUUAAAGAUUCAUUGGUUAUGGAUGGGCAUGCGUAACAUUAGGUAGUUGGUAAGGUAACGGCUUACCAAGCCUUCGAUGUUUAGGGGUUCUGAGAGGAAGGUCCCCCACACUGGUACUGAGACACGGACCAGACUCCUACGGGAGGCAGCAGUGAGGAAUAUUGGUCAAUGGGCGAGAGCCUGAACCAGCCAAAUCGCGUGAAGGAUGACGGUAUUAUGUAUUGUAAACUUCUUUUGUUAGGGAAUAAAGUGAGGGACGUGUCCCUUUUUGUAUGUACCUAACGAAUAAGCAUCGGCUAACUCCGUGCCAGCAGCCGCGGUAAUACGGAGGAUGCGAGCGUUAUCCGGAUUUAUUGGGUUUAAAGGGUGCGUAGGUUGGGAUUUAAGUCAGCGGUGAAAGUUUGCAGCUUAACUGUAAAAUUGCCGUUGAAACUGGGUUCCUUGAGUGCGAACGAGGUAGGCGGAAUUCGUAGUGUAGCGGUGAAAUGCAUAGAUAUUACGAAGAACUCCGAUAGCGCAGGCAGCUUACCAGGCCGCAACUGACACUGAAGCACGAAAGUGUGGGUAUCAAACAGGAUUAGAUACCCUGGUAGUCCACACAGUAAACGAUGAUAACUAGCUGUUUGCGAUAUACAGUAAGUGGCACAGCGAAAGCGUUAAGUUAUCCACCUGGGGAGUACGCCGGCAACGGUGAAACUCAAAGGAAUUGACGGGGGCCCGCACAAGCGGAGGAACAUGUGGUUUAAUUCGAUGAUACGCGAGGAACCUUACCAAGGUUUAAAUGUACUACGAAUAAGCUAGAAAUAGUUUAGUCUUCGGACGGAGUACAAGAUGCUGCAUGGUUGUCGUCAGCUCGUGCCGUGAGGUGUUGGGUUAAGUCCCUCAACGAGCGCAACCCUCAUUGUUAGUUGCCAGCGAAUAAUGUCGGGGACUCUAACAAGACUGCCGACGUAAGUCGAGAGGAAGGUGGGGAUGACGUCAAAUCAUCACGGCUCUUAUACCUUGGGCUACACACGUGCUACAAUGGUCGGUACAAAGGGUUGCUACUGGGCAAUCAGAUGCUAAUCUCUAAAAGCCGAUCUCAGUUCGGAUUGGAGUCUGCAACUCGACUCUAUGAAGUUGGAAUCGCUAGUAAUCGCAUAUCAGCCAUGAUGCGGUGAAUACGUUCCCGGGCCUUGUACACACCGCCCGUCAAGCCAUGGAAGUCGGGGGGACCUGAAAUCGGUGACCAUAAAAGGAGCUGCUUAAGGUAAAAUCGAUAACUGGGGCU
This 1443-nucleotide ribosomal RNA is filed under the name uncultured Bacteroidota bacterium. RNAcentral's name for it is "bacterial SSU rRNA". It matches the Rfam family "Bacterial small subunit ribosomal RNA". Lineage: Bacteria; Pseudomonadati; Bacteroidota. The record is from RNAcentral.